RNAcentral lists this ribosomal RNA (491 nucleotides) under uncultured bacterium. Its description in RNAcentral is "partial 16S ribosomal RNA". It matches the Rfam family "Bacterial small subunit ribosomal RNA", at positions 29 to 507 of the family's 1533-position model. The record is from RNAcentral.
GUGAACGCUGGCGGUAGGCCUAACACAUGCAAGUCGCACGGCAGCACAGUAAGCGCUUGCUCUUACGGGUGGCGAGUGGCGGACGGGUGAGGAAUACAUCGGAAUCUACUUUUUCGUGGGGGAUAACGUAGGGAAACUUACGCUAAUACCGCAUACGACCUACGGGUGAAAGCAGGGGAUCUUCGGACCUUGCGCGAUUGAAUGAGCCGAUGUCGGAUUAGCUAGUUGGCGGGGUAAAGGCCCACCAAGGCGACGAUCCGUAGCUGGUCUGAGAGGAUGAUCAGCCACACUGGAACUGAGACACGGUCCAGACUCCUACGGGAGGCAGCAGUGGGGAAUAUUGGACAAUGGGCGCAAGCCUGAUCCAGCCAUACCGCGUGGGUGAAGAAGGCCUUCGGGUUGUAAAGCCCUUUUGUUGGGAAAGAAAAGCAGCAGGUUAAUACCCCGCUGUUCUGACGGUACCCAAAGAAUAAGCACCGGCUAACUUCGUG